This 87-nucleotide small RNA is filed under the name Flavobacterium sinopsychrotolerans. RNAcentral's name for it is "Flavo-1 RNA". Lineage: Bacteria; Pseudomonadati; Bacteroidota; Flavobacteriia; Flavobacteriales; Flavobacteriaceae. The record is from RNAcentral.
CCCUAGCCCCGAUAGCAGUGAAAAUCCUUUUACUUUUUUCUUUAAAAAGUAAAAGAUUGCAAUCUCGUCUUUAAAACGAGACGGGAA